RNAcentral lists this small RNA (318 nucleotides) under Arabidopsis thaliana (thale cress). RNAcentral describes it as "ATSL300100". Lineage: Eukaryota; Viridiplantae; Streptophyta; Magnoliopsida; Brassicales; Brassicaceae. The record is from RNAcentral.
AACCCCUUAAAAUCUCUCUUCGUUUGUCGAGAGAAUUAGAGGGGAAGGGGUGACCUCCCGGAAAGUCCUCGUGUUGGCUCCCUCUUUUUAACCACUCAUAGGUGGGCCAGUGGUAGGAAGGAUUUCGGGCUGAGGGUGAAAUUCCCAAUAAUCCCGGGUUCGAAUCCCCACGGCUGCAAACACCUUAAGUGGCCACCGCAGACAAUUUAAAAUCGGGUUAUGCGGCCUCCAGGAACUACUCUUGCCGCCUUCGGGACGUAUGCAGUGGGCUAGUCUGGGUCCAUUGGGCUUGGGAUACCUGGGUUAUCCAAAAAAAAA